GUUUGAUCCUGGCUCAGAUUGAACGCUGGCGGCAUGCCUUACACAUGCAAGUCGAACGGUAACGCGGGGGCAACCCUGGCGACGAGUGGCGAACGGGUGAGUAAUACAUCGGAACAUAUCCAGUAGCGGGGGAUAACCUAUCGAAAGAUGGACUAAUACCGCAUACGAUCUACGGAUGAAAGCAGGGGACCGCAAGGCCUUGCACUAUUGGAGUGGCCGAUGUCGGAUUAGCUAGUUGGUGAGGUAAAGGCUUACCAAGGCGACGAUCCGUAGCUGGUCUGAGAGGACGAUCAGCCACACUGGAACUGAGACACGGUCCAGACUCCUACGGGAGGCAGCAGUGGGGAAUUUUGGACAAUGGGCGCAAGCCUGAUCCAGCCAUGCCGCGUGAGUGAAGAAGGCCUUCGGGUUGUAAAGCUCUUUCGGUGAAGACGAAACGGUUAGCGCUAAUAACGCUGACUAAUGACGGUACUCACAGAAGAAGCACCGGCUAACUACGUGCCAGCAGCCGCGGUAAUACGUAGGGUGCAGGCGUUAAUCGGAAUUACUGGGCGUAAAGCGUGCGCAGGCGGUUUGCUAAGACAGGUGUGAAAUCCCCGAGCUUAACUUGGGAAUUGCGCUUGUAACUGGCAAGCUAGAGUGUGGCAGAGGGGGGUGGAAUUCCACGUGUAGCAGUGAAAUGCGUAGAUAUGUGGAGGAACACCGAUGGCGAAGGCAGCCCCCUGGGUUAACACUGACGCUCAUGCACGAAAGCGUGGGGAGCAAACAGGAUUAGAUACCCUGGUAGUCCACGCCCUAAACUAUGUCAACUAGUUGUCGGGAAGAAAUUCCUUGGUAACGAAGCUAACGCGUGAAGUUGACCGCCUGGGGAGUACGGCCGCAAGGUUAAAACUCAAAGGAAUUGACGGGGACCCGCACAAGCGGUGGAUUAUGUGGAUUAAAUCGAUGCAACGCGAAAAACCUUACCUACCCUUGACAUGCUAGGAAGCCCGCAGAGAUGUGGGUGUGCCCGAAAGGGAACCUAGACACAGGUGCUGCAUGGCUGUCGUCAGCUCGUGUCGUGAGAUGUUGGGUUAAGUCCCGCAACGAGCGCAACCCUUGCCAUUAGUUGCUACAUUCAGUUGGGCACUCUAAUGGGACCGCCGGUGACAAACCGGAGGAAGGUGGGGAUGACGUCAAGUCCUCAUGGCCCUUAUGGGUAGGGCUUCACACGUAAUACAAUGGUCGGUACAGAGGGCUGCCAACCCGCAAGGGGGAGCUAAUCCCAGAAAGCCGAUCGUAGUCCGGAUUGUAGUCUGCAACUCGACUGCAUGAAGCCGGAAUCGCUAGUAAUCGCGGAUCAGCAUGUCGCGGUGAAUACGUUCCCGGGUCUUGUACACACCGCCCGUCACACCAUGGGAGUGGGUUCCACCAGAAGUAGUUAGCCUAACCGCAAGGAGGGCGAUUACCACGGUGAGAUUCAUGACUGGGGUGAAGUCGAAACAAGGUA
RNAcentral lists this ribosomal RNA (1489 nucleotides) under metagenome. Its description in RNAcentral is "bacterial SSU rRNA". It matches the Rfam family "Bacterial small subunit ribosomal RNA". The record is from RNAcentral.